GACGAACGCUGGCGGCGUGCUUAACACAUGCGAGUCGAACGGAAAGGCCCUGCUUUUGUGGGGUGCUCGAGUGGCGAACGGGUGAGUAACACGUGAGUAACCUGCCCUGGACGGUGGGAUAACUUCAGGAAACUGGGGCUAAUACCGGAUAGGAGCUCCUGCUGCAUGGGGGGGGUUGGAAAGUUUCGGCGGUUGGGGAUGGACUCGCGGCUUAUCAGCUUGUUGGUGGGGUAGUGGCUUACCAAGGCUUUGACGGGUAGCCGGCCUGAGAGGGUGACCGGCCACAUUGGGACUGAGAUACGGCCCAGACUCCUACGGGAGGCAGCAGUGGGGAAUCUUGCACAAUGGGCGGAAGCCUGAUGCAGCAACGCCGCGUGCGGGAUGACGGCCUUCGGGUUGUAAACCGCUUUCGCCUGUGACGAAGCGUGAGUGACGGUAAUGGGUAAAGAAGCACCGGCUAACUACGUG
Molecule: ribosomal RNA, 468 nt
Filed under: uncultured bacterium
Lineage: Bacteria
Description: partial 16S ribosomal RNA
Rfam family: Bacterial small subunit ribosomal RNA
Source: RNAcentral